UGCAGUCGAGCGAACUGAUUAGAAGCUUGCUUCUAUGACGUUAGCGGCGGACGGGUGAGUAACACGUGGGCAACCUGCCUGUAAGACUGGGAUAACUUCGGGAAACCGAAGCUAAUACCGGAUAGGAUCUUCUCCUUCAUGGGAGAUGAUUGAAAGAUGGUUUCGGCUAUCACUUACAGAUGGGCCCGCGGUGCAUUAGCUAGUUGGUGAGGUAACGGCUCACCAAGGCAACGAUGCAUAGCCGACCUGAGAGGGUGAUCGGCCACACUGGGACUGAGACACGGCCCAGACUCCUACGGGAGGCAGCAGUAGGGAAUCUUCCGCAAUGGACGAAAGUCUGACGGAGCAACGCCGCGUGAGUGAUGAAGGCUUUCGGGUCGUAAAACUCUGUUGUUAGGGAAGAACAAGUACGAGAGUAACUGCUUGUACCUUGACGGUACCUAACCAGAAAGCCACGGCUAACUACGUGCCAGCAGCCGCGGUAAUACGUAGGUGGCAAGCGUUAUCCGGAAUUAUUGGGCGUAAAGCGCGCGCAGGCGGUUUCUUAAGUCUGAUGUGAAAGCCCACGGCUCAACCGUGGAGGGUCAUUGGAAACUGGGGAACUUGAGUGCAGAAGAGAAAAGCGGAAUUCCACGUGUAGCGGUGAAAUGCGUAGAGAUG
Molecule: ribosomal RNA, 660 nt
Filed under: Bacillus sp. JSM 082107
Lineage: Bacteria; Bacillati; Bacillota; Bacilli; Caryophanales; Bacillaceae
Description: bacterial SSU rRNA
Rfam family: Bacterial small subunit ribosomal RNA
Source: RNAcentral